This 833-nucleotide ribosomal RNA is filed under the name uncultured bacterium. RNAcentral's name for it is "bacterial SSU rRNA". It matches the Rfam family "Bacterial small subunit ribosomal RNA", at positions 1 to 824 of the family's 1533-position model. The record is from RNAcentral.
UUCGAUUAGAGUUGAUCCUGGCUCAGAUUGAACGCUGGCGGCAUGCCUAACACAUGCAAGUCGAACGGAAACGAUGAAGAGCUUGCUCUUCAGGCGUCGAGUGGCGGACGGGUGCGUAACGCGUAGGAAUCUACCUUAUAGUGGGGGACAACUCGAGGAAACUCGAGCUAAUACCGCAUAAUCCUUACGAGGGAAAGCAGGGGAUCUUCGGACCUUGUGCUAUUAGAUGAGCCUGCGUCGGAUUAGCUAGUUGGUAGGGUAAUGGCCUACCAAGGCAACGAUCCGUAGCUGGUCUGAGAGGACGACCAGCCACACUGGGACUGAGACACGGCCCAGACUCCUACGGGAGGCAGCAGUGGGGAAUAUUGGACAAUGGGCGCAAGCCUGAUCCAGCAAUGCCGCGUGUGUGAAGAAGGCCCUAGGGUUGUAAAGCACUUUCAGUAGGGAAGAAAUGCGUGUAGUUAAUAACUGCGCGUCUUGACGGUACCUACAGAAGAAGCACCGGCUAACUCCGUGCCAGCAGCCGCGGUAAUACGGAGGGUGUAAGCGUUAAUCGGAAUUACUGGGCGUAAAGCGCGCGUAGGCGGUUAUAUAAGUCGGAUGUGAAAGCCCUGGGCUCAACCUGGGAACUGCAUUCGAUACUGUAUAACUAGAGUUUGAUAGAGGGAAGUGGAAUUCCACAUGUAGCGGUGAAAUGCGUAGAUAUGUGGAGGAACACCAGUGGCGAAGGCGACUUCCUGGACCAAAACUGACGCUGAGGUGCGAAAGCGUGGGUAGCAAACAGGAUUAGAUACCCUGGUAGUCCACGCCGUAAACGAUGUCAACUAGCCGUU